UUCGGGAGGGCGCUUACCACUUUGUGAUUCAUGACUGGGGUGAAGUCGUAACAAGGUAACCGUAGGGGAACCUGCGGUUGGAUCACCUCCUUA
Molecule: ribosomal RNA, 93 nt
Filed under: Citrobacter freundii
Lineage: Bacteria; Pseudomonadati; Pseudomonadota; Gammaproteobacteria; Enterobacterales; Enterobacteriaceae
Also listed under: 28 other names
Description: partial 16S ribosomal RNA
Rfam family: Bacterial small subunit ribosomal RNA
Source: RNAcentral